GAGCCAAACCGGCCAGGGCCAGAAUCUUUUUUUUAAUAUUCUUUACUAACUUGGGCUAUUUGGGAGAAUAAAGAAGACCAUACUCCACUGUGGGUUAUAUCACUAAAAAUAUAAUUCACUACUAUUUUGUAGCCUACACU
This is a small nucleolar RNA of Molossus molossus (Pallas's mastiff bat), 140 nucleotides long. RefSeq annotates it as small nucleolar RNA SNORA4. The record is from RefSeq and is a predicted model, not a curated record. NCBI's taxonomy places the organism in Eukaryota, Metazoa, Chordata, Mammalia, Chiroptera, Molossidae. The transcript has a single exon.